This 404-nucleotide ribosomal RNA is filed under the name Verrucomicrobiota bacterium. Its description in RNAcentral is "Verrucomicrobia bacterium partial 16S ribosomal RNA". It matches the Rfam family "Bacterial small subunit ribosomal RNA", at positions 355 to 776 of the family's 1533-position model. The record is from RNAcentral. Lineage: Bacteria; Pseudomonadati; Verrucomicrobiota.
UGGGGAAUAUUGGACAAUGGGCGCAAGCCUGAUCCAGCCAUGCCGCGUGAGUGAUGAAGGCCCUAGGGUAGUAAAGCUCUUUCACCGGUGAAGAUAAUGACGGUAACCGGAGAAGAAGCCCCGGCUAACUUCGUGCCAGCAGCCGCGGUAAUACGAAGGGGGCUAGCGUUGUUCGGAUUUACUGGGCGUAAAGUGCACGUAGGCGGACUUUUAAGUCAGGGGUGAAAUCCCGGGGCUCAACCCCGGAACUGCCUUUGAUACUGGAAGUCUUGAGUAUGGUAGAGGUGAGUGGAAUUCCGAGUGUAGAGGUGAAAUUCGUAGAUAUUCGGAGGAACACCAGUGGCGAAGGCGGCUCACUGGACCAUUACUGACGCUGAGGUGCGAAAGCGUGGGGAGCAAACAGG